RNAcentral lists this ribosomal RNA (484 nucleotides) under uncultured bacterium. RNAcentral describes it as "partial 16S ribosomal RNA". It matches the Rfam family "Bacterial small subunit ribosomal RNA", at positions 28 to 523 of the family's 1533-position model. The record is from RNAcentral.
GAUGAACGCUGGCGGCGUGCUUAACACAUGCAAGCCGAACGGUGAAGCAGGAGCUUGCUCUUGUGGAUCAGUGGCGAACGGGUGAGUAACACGUGAGCAACCUGCCCCUGACUCUGGGAUAAGCGCUGGAAACGGCGUCUAAUACUGGAUAUGUGAUGUGACCGCAUGGUCUGCAUCUGGAAAGAAUUUCGGUUGGGGAUGGGCUCGCGGCCUAUCAGCUUGUUGGUGAGGUAAUGGCUCACCAAGGCGUCGACGGGUAGCCGGCCUGAGAGGGUGACCGGCCACACGGGGACUGACACACGGCCCAGACUCCUACGGGAGGCAGCAGUGGGGAAUAUUGCACAAUGGGCGGAAGCCUGAUGCAGCAACGCCGCGUGAGGGAUGACGGCCUUCGGGUUGUAAACCUCUUUUAGCAGGGAAGAAGCGAAAGUGACGGUACCUGCAGAAAAAGCACCGGCUAACUACGUGCCAGCCGCCGCCGUAA